UGCACUAUAAUGUGUGCCUUCAGCUGAGUGCGCUGUGGCCUAGCCCUAGCAUCUUCUGAAAGUGCUUCCAGCAGCACCAACAUGGAAAAGAAAUAGUGCUGGUCACAAACACACACACUUCUUCCUGCUUGUCUCUGAGACGAUAUGCAUCCAGAACACCUGCUCAGGUUCCAUGAAUGCAAUCUGUGUUUGACCCUCCUAGAAUGUUCUAGUCUUGACAAGAAAACUAUGAGGCACACCAAAGCUGAUGAAGAAAAAGGGGCAAAAUAUACAUGAACUUCCAUGAUCCUGGGACCCACUGAGGAUGACGGCACAGUUACAGAUCAGCCAACUGGGGCUGAAAGUUCCACGUCAAUGCCAGUCACUGGAAGUGAGGUGAUGGCAGAGUUACACUAAAGUGGGAGGAUUCAGCAUCAUCCCUACACUCAGAACUUGGAGGAAGAAAAUCUGGAAUUGCACCUACAUAUCUCAAAGGAGACAGUCAACAAGGCAUGGCCACCAGGUUCCAGAUGUUAACAUGAUGCCAAUCUGACUUCCCUGGGCAGAUGACCUCACCACUGUGUCCUGGAGCCCUGCUUCCCUAGAGCUCUGCCCCACUAGAGAAAGAGAGAGACAGGCUGUAAGUAUGGAUCGACCUGUCAAUGCCCAUGUUCAGCGGGGAAGCAAUUACAGAAGCCAGACCUUCCACCUUCUGCACCCCAUAAUGACCCUGGGUCCAUAGUUCCAGGGGGACGAGGAACAGGAGAGGGGAUGGGAUAUGGAGAUCUGGUGGUGGGAAUUGUGUGGAAUUGUACCCCUUUUAUCCUAUGGUUCUUGUCAGUGUUUCCUUUUUAUAAAUAAA
Molecule: long non-coding RNA, 841 nt
Organism: Erinaceus europaeus (western European hedgehog)
Lineage: Eukaryota; Metazoa; Chordata; Mammalia; Eulipotyphla; Erinaceidae
Exons: 4
Source: RefSeq, a predicted model, not a curated record